This 338-nucleotide ribosomal RNA is filed under the name uncultured Spongospora. RNAcentral's name for it is "SSU rRNA". It matches the Rfam family "Eukaryotic small subunit ribosomal RNA", at positions 611 to 955 of the family's 1831-position model. The record is from RNAcentral. Lineage: Eukaryota; Endomyxa; Phytomyxea; Plasmodiophorida; Plasmodiophoridae.
GACUUGUGUGUGUUGCUGUUCAGCGGUCUGCAUUCAAAAGAGUGUUACGACAUGCGGCAGUGGCGCCGUAAAAUCUUCAACUGGAUCGCAACUGGACUUAAUUGCCUGGUUGCAGUCAUUCGGUUGAUCGUUUACUGUGAGAAAAUUGGAGUGUUCAAGGCAGGCGUGGAUUGCAACUGAACAUGUUAGCAUGGAAUAAUAAGAUAGGGCUCCGGCUCAUAUUUUGUUGGUUUCUAGAUCGGAAGUAAUGAUUGAUAGGGACAGUUGGGGGUGCUAGUAUUCAGCGGCCAGAGGUGAAAUUCAUGGAUUCGCUGAAGACUAACUUAUGCGAAAGCAUU